UACGAAGGGGGCUAGCGUUGCUCGGAAUUACUGGGCGUAAAGGGAGCGUAGGCGGAUAGUUUAGUCAGAGGUGAAAGUCCAGGGCUCAACCCUGGAAUUGCCUUUGAUACUGGCUAUCUUGAGUGUGGGAGAGGUUAGCGGAACUCCGAGUGUAGAGGUGAAAUUCGUAGAUAUUCGGAAGAACACCAGUGGCGAAGGCGGCUAACUGGCCCAUUACUGACGCUGAGGCUCGAAAGCGUGGGGAGCAAACAGG
RNAcentral lists this ribosomal RNA (253 nucleotides) under uncultured bacterium. RNAcentral's name for it is "partial 16S ribosomal RNA". It matches the Rfam family "Bacterial small subunit ribosomal RNA", at positions 524 to 776 of the family's 1533-position model. The record is from RNAcentral.